GACGAACGCUGGCGGCGUGCCUAACACAUGCAAGUCGAACGGGGUAGCAAUACCCAGUGGCGGACGGGUGCGUAACACGUGAGGAACAUGUCUUUCGGCGGGGAAUAGCCGGCCUAACGGCCGGGUAAUACCGCGUACGACGAUCGGGGCGCAUGCCUUGAUCGUGAAAGCAGCAAUGCACCGAUAGAGUGCCUCGCGGCCUAUCAGCUAGUUGGUGAGGUAAUGGCCACCAAGGCGACGACGGGUAGCUGGUCUGAGAGGAUGACCAGCCACACUGGGACUGAGACACGGCCCAGACUCCUACGGGAGGCAGCAGUGGGGAAUAUUGGACAAUGGGCGCAAGCCUGAUCCAGCCAUGCCGCGUGGGGUGAAGAAGGCCUUAGGGUUGUAAACCCCCUUUCAGCGGGGAAGAUAAUGACGGUACCCGCAGAAGAAGUCCCGGNUAA
RNAcentral lists this ribosomal RNA (446 nucleotides) under uncultured bacterium. RNAcentral describes it as "bacterial SSU rRNA". It matches the Rfam family "Bacterial small subunit ribosomal RNA", at positions 28 to 500 of the family's 1533-position model. The record is from RNAcentral.